CCCGCUACCUUGUCUCUCAUCA
This 22-nucleotide microRNA is filed under the name Patiria miniata (bat star). RNAcentral's name for it is "Pmi-Mir-71_3p* (star (passenger))". The record is from RNAcentral. Lineage: Eukaryota; Metazoa; Echinodermata; Asteroidea; Valvatida; Asterinidae.